RNAcentral lists this long non-coding RNA (1498 nucleotides) under Falco tinnunculus (common kestrel). RNAcentral's name for it is "lncRNA (ENSFTIG00000006759.1)". Lineage: Eukaryota; Metazoa; Chordata; Aves; Falconiformes; Falconidae. The record is from RNAcentral.
CUCCGUUCUCCCAGGGGCGCAGCCAUGGCGUGGCCGGGAGCUCCUGCUGCUGGAGCCUUUCCGCGCUGAAGCAGCCACCUCCUGCCCCACAGACUGUCCCUGCCUCAGCUCCCCAGCGCCCUGCCUUGUGCAGAGGAGCAGGACAGGACCUCCCCAGCCCUCUCGCCCGCCGCCUCAGGCAGCCACUCGGGUACCCCAGGAGGUGCCUGCACUUCUCCUACCUUCCCAGGAUGCUAGAAAAUGGAGACGCAUGGACGGUGGGGAAGGAAGAAACUACUUGAAGGCUAACACAUUCAUGGUUGAGGCAGAUCUACCAAGGAGACUGCAAAGGACCUUUUUUGAGGCCCAAAAAAGUGAUGAGAUUGCUGGUAGUGUCUCGGUUAUGAUACGGGUAUUUAAGGUGGAAUUUAUCAGACUGAACGUUGGUGACUGCUACGUAGAUGUCAACAUCUGGGCAAGUCAUGCCAUACUAAUUGCAUAGUCUUUGGAGAGCUUGUCAAUACGUCCGUGGAUGCAAUUUUCAGACCUUCAAGGCCGGAAAGAUGAACUGGCAGCUAAACCUCGCUGGGUACAGAGGGAGCCAAACCAUCUAUCUUGGGUAUAGACACCUAAAUUUAGAUUGGAUAAACAGCACUCCUAGUCUGAAGAGAUUCAAAAGGAGUUGAACCAAACAUGAAUGUAAGGAAAGCAAGUCUUCAUGUGAGUUUGGGGCUUUUCCCUGUAUGAUAUUUAAGUAUAAAUUGUUGAAAUGCCCCAAAACGUCAAAUCUAGACUGUUUCACAAAAUUUUCUACAGGGUUUCAGUGUGUGGCUUUACAAACCUUUUAUUCCAUAAAUAAUAAUGAUUUGUAAUACAGUCUUAAAUGCUCUGUAAAGGAACUUAAAAUCCCUGUAAAUGUUGGCUCCAGAUUCUAUUAGCAGGCAAGGUCCUAUUUGAAUUAUUCUUCUUGGGUAUUUGUUACUUGAGGAAAAUCCCAGUGUAAUGGGCUUCACAGAGUUUGUAGUCAAACUCCAUCGCUUCUCUGUCUCAGCCUUCUAUGUCAUACUAUACAUUGAAUUUAAUCUAGUUAAUUUUGCGUUGAGUCUGAUAACCUAUGUUUGACUAAAGUAUUUCUUAGUAAUGUAUCUAAAAUAAACACAUCACUUUUCAGUCUUCUCUUUCAUUUAUUAAAUAAAGUGAACAUCUUAAAAUGGCUUGUUUUCUGUUUCCCCCUACCCUUUAGACUGUAUUUGUGGACCUUUUUUGUUCCAGCUUUUCAAAACUAACUUAAAAAUCUGAUUAUCAAACUGAACACUUCGUUUUACUUUCAGGUUCACUAUCGCUGUACACACAAAUAUAUCACCAAAAUUAUAGUGCUAUUCCAAGGUCUAUAAACUUUAUCUGAGUAGGUUUGACACCUCCUGAGCCAGUUUCCGUGGCACUCGUGAGUGAAAAUUAUCUAGAAUGGCUGAUUGCAAGAAGGGCAUUCCUAAUGGUUUGCAAAGGCCUUCAUCAUCAC